AAGCGGGGCUCCGUCCCGGGAGAGCGAGAGCGCGUGCGAGUGAAGGGGGAGCAAGAAUACAGGUCGAGGGAGAUGAAGGAAAGAAGAAAGAAGCCCCUCCGCACCGAGCGGUGGACAAGAGUGCAAGCGGUGGAAGUCAGAGCGAGGGAAGAGUUCGACAGGGACGAAGAAGGAAGAAGGCCCUCUCAAUAUUUCAUGAUGAAUGAGUUUUCUUGAAAGAAAAUUGAAAGAAAAGGAAACGUUGCAACGUGGAGGAUGUUGGAAGAAGAGGAUCUUGAUGCUCUGUUGGUUAACAUUACGGUACCUUAAACUGAGUUUUUGAUUUGUCUGUUAAUUUCACUUCAUUAGCAUGUUUUGUGGAAACUGAUCAAGAAUCAGUCAGAAAAGGGAAAUCUUUACCAUGUAGAGGAAUGUGGGUCUUGAGACUUUGAGGUAAAAGAUUCCUUAACUGUUUAAAUACCAUGUAUUCUUGCAUAUGGUUCCUGAUUGAUAUACUUAUUAUU
Phoenix dactylifera (date palm) is the source of this 503-nucleotide non-coding RNA. Lineage: Eukaryota; Viridiplantae; Streptophyta; Magnoliopsida; Arecales; Arecaceae. The record is from RefSeq and is a predicted model, not a curated record.